GCCGGUGUAGCUCAGCGGUAGAGCAACUGAUUCGUAAUCAGUAGGUCGCAGGUUCAAAUCCAGUCACCGGCU
This 72-nucleotide transfer RNA is filed under the name Synechococcus sp. RNAcentral describes it as "tRNA-Thr". It matches the Rfam family "tRNA". Rfam says of the family: Transfer RNA (tRNA) molecules are approximately 80 nucleotides in length. Their secondary structure includes four short double-helical elements and three loops (D, anti-codon, and T loops). Further hydrogen bonds mediate the characteristic L-shaped molecular structure. tRNAs have two regions of fundamental functional importance: the anti-codon, which is responsible for specific mRNA codon recognition, and the 3' end, to which the tRNAs corresponding amino acid is attached (by aminoacyl-tRNA synthetases). tRNAs cope with the degeneracy of the genetic code in two manners: having more than one tRNA (with a specific anti-codon) for a particular amino acid; and 'wobble' base-pairing, i.e. permitting non-standard base-pairing at the 3rd anti-codon position. Lineage: Bacteria; Bacillati; Cyanobacteriota; Cyanophyceae; Synechococcales; Synechococcaceae. RNAcentral also lists the same sequence under 25 other names. The record is from RNAcentral.